Molecule: ribosomal RNA, 508 nt
Filed under: uncultured bacterium
Lineage: Bacteria
Description: partial 16S ribosomal RNA
Rfam family: Bacterial small subunit ribosomal RNA
Source: RNAcentral
GAUGAACGCUAGCUACAGGCUUAACACAUGCAAGUCGAGGGGAAACGACAUCGAAAGCUUGCUUUUGAUGGGCGUCGACCGGCGCACGGGUGAGUAACGCGUAUCCAACCUGCCCACCACUUGGGGAUAACCUUGCGAAAGUAAGACUAAUACCCAAUGAUAUCUCUAGAAGACAUCUGAAAGGGAUUAAAGAUUUAUCGGUGAUGGAUGGGGAUGCGUCUGAUUAGCUUGUUGGCGGGGUAACGGCCCACCAAGGCGACGAUCAGUAGGGGUGCUGAGAGGAAGGUCCCCCACAGUGGAACUGAGACACGGUCCAAACUCCUACGGGAGGCAGCAGUGAGGAAUAUUGGUCAAUGGGCGAGAGCCUGAACCAGCCAAGUAGCGUGCAGGAUGACGGCCCUAUGGGUUGUAAACUGCUUUUAUAAGGGAAUAAAGUGAGUCUCGUGAGACUUUUUGCAUGUACCUUAUGAAUAAGGACCGGCUAAUUCCGUGCCAGCAGCCGCAGUAA